UUUCCGUAGGUGAACCUGCGGAAGGAUCAUUCAUAAUAAAGUGUUUUAUGGCACUUUUUAAAAAUCCAUAUCCACCUUGUGUGCAAUGUUAGAUCUCGACAAUCUUGGCGAGAUUUUUAUACAUCAACUCAUUUUUUAACUAAUUUGUCUGAAAAAUAUUAUGAAUACUUAAUUCAAAAUACAACUUUCAACAACGGAUCUCUUGGCUCUC
RNAcentral lists this unclassified non-coding RNA (211 nucleotides) under plant metagenome. RNAcentral's name for it is "partial contains small subunit ribosomal RNA, internal transcribed spacer 1, and 5.8S ribosomal RNA". The record is from RNAcentral.